UACGGAGGAUCCGAGCGUUAUCCGGAUUUAUUGGGUUUAAAGGGUGCGUAGGCGGCCUUUUAAGUCAGCGGUGAAAGUCUGUGGCUCAACCGUAAAAUUGCAGUUGAAACUGGCAGUCUUGAGUACAGUAGAGGUGGGCGGAAUUCGUGGUGUAGCGGUGAAAUGCUUAGAUAUCACGAAGAACUCCGAUUGCGAAGGCAGCUCACUGGACUGCAACUGACACUGAGGCUCGAAAGUGUGGGUAUCAAACAGG
RNAcentral lists this ribosomal RNA (253 nucleotides) under uncultured Bacteroides sp. RNAcentral describes it as "partial 16S ribosomal RNA". It matches the Rfam family "Bacterial small subunit ribosomal RNA", at positions 524 to 776 of the family's 1533-position model. Lineage: Bacteria; Pseudomonadati; Bacteroidota; Bacteroidia; Bacteroidales; Bacteroidaceae. The record is from RNAcentral.